RNAcentral lists this transfer RNA (72 nucleotides) under Ovis aries (sheep). It matches the Rfam family "tRNA". From Rfam's summary of the family: Transfer RNA (tRNA) molecules are approximately 80 nucleotides in length. Their secondary structure includes four short double-helical elements and three loops (D, anti-codon, and T loops). Further hydrogen bonds mediate the characteristic L-shaped molecular structure. tRNAs have two regions of fundamental functional importance: the anti-codon, which is responsible for specific mRNA codon recognition, and the 3' end, to which the tRNAs corresponding amino acid is attached (by aminoacyl-tRNA synthetases). tRNAs cope with the degeneracy of the genetic code in two manners: having more than one tRNA (with a specific anti-codon) for a particular amino acid; and 'wobble' base-pairing, i.e. permitting non-standard base-pairing at the 3rd anti-codon position. Lineage: Eukaryota; Metazoa; Chordata; Mammalia; Artiodactyla; Bovidae. The record is from Rfam by way of RNAcentral.
UCCCUGGUGGCUCAGAUGGUAGAGCGUCUGCCUGCAAUUUGCAAGGCUCAGGUUCAAUCCCUGGAUUGGGAA